RNAcentral lists this long non-coding RNA (810 nucleotides) under Actinidia chinensis (golden kiwifruit). Its description in RNAcentral is "long non-coding RNA (ACHI_LNC007041)". Lineage: Eukaryota; Viridiplantae; Streptophyta; Magnoliopsida; Ericales; Actinidiaceae. The record is from RNAcentral.
AAGAAUAAGGCUUCCAGUGUAGAUGGCUUCGGACCGGAUGUGUUCUGCGACAAUUGGAAAUGCAUAUGUAGAAUUUGAUAAAGUUUAAUGGAGUACUACAUGCUGCAUCAUAACUACAUAUUCUGAUAGAGUUUACAAACAUUUAAAAACCAGUGGUUAUCAUGGAUGACAAUCCUAUAAUUCCUAUGCACAGAUCCUUCUUCGAAUAUUUUUCUUUCUUUCUUCUUUCUUUCUAUAAUUUUGGAUUACUAAGCAAUUCCUCACUCAUUUGAAGUUUAUGCAAAAGACUAACAGAACCCAGUACUCCUACCUAACAGACAUCACUGAUACGAAGCAAUUCGCACUUCCAAAAUACUGGAGAUCAAGUUUCUAAUGUCACGUUUUCAAUAAUAACAACUAACCAUCGAACUAAGUUCAAUAUUUUCCAAUUCAGUAUCUCAACAUCCUCAGAAACUUAACAGAUUUUCUCACAUAAAUAACAAUAAACCAUAAUUUUGUCAGUUUCUUUCAAUAGCUUUCAAUUAAUCAAUAAAGCGAUUAAACCUAAUGAUUAAAACAAUCCACGAAGAAUUUUUCCAACUCCUUCUAUUCUUUAGGUUUCACAGAAACCAAACAGAGUUCCGAUUAAAAAACCUAGCGUGAAUUGUACCUGAGAUAUUAACCAGCUCUGUCCAUCCGCUUGGCGAAGUCGGAGGAGCUCUCGGUGGAAUCCACCAUUGAAGCACGAACUCCAACACCGUAAAACUUCGAUCCGUGGCGUAGAGAUUCUCCAGCAAUUGAGAGUCGUCUAGGCGAUACGAAGAUGCUUUU